GACGAACGCUGGCGGCGUGCUUAACACAUGCAAGUCGAACGGAAAGGCCCUGCUUUUGUGGGUGGCUCGAGUGGCGAACGGGUGAGUAACACGUGAGUAACCUGCCCUUGACUUUGGGAUAACUUCAGAAAACUGGGGCUAUUACCGGAUAGGAGCUCCUCUUGAAUGUUGGGGGUGGGAAAGUUUCGGCGGUUGGGGAUGGACUCGCGGCUUAUCAGCUUGUUGGUGGGGUAGUGGCUUACCAAGGCUUUGACGGGUAGCCGGCCUGAGAGGGUGACCGGCCACAUUGGGACUGAGAUACGGCCCAGACUCCUACGGGAGGCAGCAGUGGGGAAUAUUGCACAAUGGGCGGAAGCCUGAUGCAGCAACGCCGCGUGCGGGAUGACGGCCUUCGGGUUGUAAACCGCUUUCGCCUGUGACGAAGCGUGAGUGACGGUAAUGGGUAAAGAAGCACCGGCUAACUACGUG
This 468-nucleotide ribosomal RNA is filed under the name uncultured bacterium. RNAcentral describes it as "partial 16S ribosomal RNA". It matches the Rfam family "Bacterial small subunit ribosomal RNA", at positions 28 to 507 of the family's 1533-position model. The record is from RNAcentral.